RNAcentral lists this long non-coding RNA (6897 nucleotides) under Volvox carteri. Its description in RNAcentral is "long non-coding RNA (VCAR_LNC002786)". The record is from RNAcentral. Lineage: Eukaryota; Viridiplantae; Chlorophyta; Chlorophyceae; Chlamydomonadales; Volvocaceae.
UCGAUGGCAUGUCCAGUAGUGGUGCAGCCACCGCUGCUAUUCUCAAUUUGCUGCCAUAGCUUGGGGAAUGGAGGGUGCGUGAUCAGAUGAGGAAGUGGGAGAUGAAGACUCACCCCUGGCGGCGCAUUGAUACGAGGUUGCGGAUGGUUUCGAUUCCAGCCGUACACAACAAACUGCCCCGUGGAUGUCAGUUACACAUAUCGGUACCUUUGUAUUUGGUGUCCUGUGUUUCCCAACACCCCCAAACGGAGGAGUGGAGCCUGAGCCCAUAGCAAAUCGUGCUUGGGUGUGCCUGAUGCCGUUAAUGAAGUUCGUUAGGCUUGCAGGGGCCUUUGUUCAGGGGAUAGCCCCUUUCCGUCUUGGUUCAUGGUUUCGGAGGGUCAUGUAAUGUGAGGAGUUCAGGAGGUCGGAAACUUUCGUACUGUUGUAAUGUAACAGAUGAGCUGUAUGUACGUAUGUAUGUAUGUGGCGUAUUGAUGUGUGUCCAUGUUUGCAGGUUCACACUGAAGCGCUGCUUGGUGACCUCUCAAAUGCCACCUCGCGAAUCCACAAAAUGAACGAGCUUCAAGCGCGCUGAAGCACUCCACGACAGGGUUCUUCACCAGGGUACCCAAAAAUUUCGGCCGUGUCCGAAACCCUCUGAAUAACCUUUCGGGGCCCUCCCCGAAAAUUUUCCUGUCAGCCGGAGAGUGUUUUCGGGUACCCCGAAACUGUCUGAAGCGGUUUUCGGGGUAAAAUUUAGCUGGAUUCUAUCGUUAUAUGCUAGGACGGCUGAAUUAACAGGUGUUUGACUUUAUUUUGGAACAUAGCUCUUAGGAUUUUACCCAAAGCAAGGCUAUCUUAGACUUCAUAACUGAAAACUCUUUCUGCAAAACGUCAAGUUCGCUGACAUCGAAGGCAAACAGGCGGUUCGAGCUUGCCGAAGCCGCGAAUCCCGAGGGAGAUGCGGGGCACCUUGGUUGGGCGCUCAUCAUCAGUUGACUCGGGCAUGUUUAACUAUGCUUAGAUGUAUGAAAAUGUGGGAUAUGGAUAUGCUUAGAUGUAUGAAAAUGUGGCAUAUGGAUAUGCUUAGAUGUAUGCAGCCGCGAAACAGCCGCAAUGCACAUUUGUACUCAUUGUUUGGCUGGUGACCAAGCGGGCCUUAUACGGCAAGCCUGGUUUCCAGGCCCCGUCUGCGCCCGAAAACAUGCAAAUUUACGCUGACAUAUCGUUCGGUAUUCUCCAAAAAUGCCUUCAAAAGGCUUCGGUGGGGUCCCCGAAAAAAUGCUCUAAAAGGCCCAAAAUCCGUUCGGAAUGCUCCGGGCCGCACUAAUUUUCCUUUCGGGCAAAACGGAAAUAUCUCAAAAAAGUUCGGGCCCGAAUCGGGGUGAAGAACCCUGCUCCACGAGGCCUUAUGAAGGGGCGUAUGUGUCUUGAAAGAACUGGAAGGAAUAAUAAUCCUUUUUAUAUUGUGGUGGUGCUGGUGGUGAUUCCGAGAGCACACGGAUGAGUUGUCAGAGCGAGGCUUCGGUCGCAGCCGCCAGCUUGGAGCGAGGACAUUUUUUGCGCACAACCCGAGUUUGGUCCGAAGUGCAGCCCAAGAUAGCGGGCGCGCGUUUUCCACGUGACCGGCCAGAACAUCGGCAGNCCUUUCUCAAGCACGCGCAGGGUGAGGUCAUAUGCGCUGAGAGCAUAAACCUGGCUUCUAACCUGUACAUUGGGAUGUAAAAACAACAGCUUACACUUUCGGGCAUUCACAGUAACACCGAAAACCCCCGUCAUAGGCCUCACGCGCUCGGAAUUCCGGAAUUUGACCCCCAUGAAUUCGCAAGCAAAUCCGGGUCAAAUCCCAUCGGGAUUUGAGGAUUUGACCCCCAAAACAAUAAGCAAUAUAAUGGUCAUGCAAAGAUUUCCUCGGGCCUGGAAUUUGACGCAUUUGAGGAUUUGAACCCCCCAAAACAAUUAUCAUGGCCAUGCAAACAAUUCCAUGCGCAGCCGUUACAAUAUAUUGCAUAUCUUCGAGCGGCAUGUUAUGCUCGUGCCAGUCAGUCCUCGCGCCGCAUGCCUUCAAACAUUUAGUUAGACUUUUACUAUUAGAGUUAUUCCUCCAAAGCCGGCGCUCGCCGCAAAGAGCGAUGUCAGACAGCGGCGAUGGACGGGCCAACAAGCGCCGAAAGGCUCAACCAGGCACCCUAGAUGAACUGAACCGGCACGUGCAACAAUUAGGAAAGAAAACGAAUACGAACUGAACGUUUUCUUCAUAUGGGAUAACAAUUUCACUCGCAAGGGUCGCGGACAGCAUCCCCGCGAUUGAGAGGCAGCUAGGCGUCACAUUCUCUACUCAGGAUGUCUCAGACAUGCGCGUGAGUUAUCAAUAAAGUUAACCCCUAGUAUGUUGUGGUGGAAUGGUCGCUUUACCCUGUUGGUGCUCGUACGAGUGCCCCACCUAUCGUUCUGCAAGUUGUUCCACACGUGCUAAAACUAGCAUACGGGAAGCAGGACGCCACAGGGCGUCGUCGGGGCAGAGAGAAACCCACGGGUCGGCAACGAAUAUACAGUUCGAACGCAUGCGCAUGCACAUGCACACACGCAGCUGCAGCUGCGUGCGCACAAACUCUCACUUGCGCGCCACAGGGUGGUGUGGCUCAAAACAACUUACACCACCACAAGUGGGAGAAGACAAAACACAUGCAUUCCUACCCACAAAAAUGCGCGUCCUCCACAAUAGCUNNNNNNNNNNNNNNNNNNNNNNNNNNNNNNNNNNNNNNNNNNNNNNNNNNUCCAGGCUGCCCCAGUCCGGUCUGCAAGACUACACGCAUCGGGAAAUGUCCAUGAAGGAACAUGAGCAGCUCAGAAUGUGAUCACGGAAGAUUCGUCCAAGCGACAGGCUGUCCGUGCCCCUCUCGGCACGGCCCUUCAGGUCGCUGCGGCGUAAGUAGGGUUUCGAGCGGGUGAGGUUUAACGAGCAAUUAGGCGCCGGAGAUGUGCCGGUUUGUAGCAUUAUUCACGCGGUCUUUUAUAUAUACUUUAUAUAUGAUGUCCGCGGACGUGCAAGGUAUUGCACGACAUAGCGACCACAUAAGACAUAACCAAAUUACAGCCAGUUCCUCAAAAAAAAAGAUAGUAUUACACAAUUUAUUGGACCGGCCUAUUAUAAUUGCGACCCGGGCUUUAUGUUUGCAUCACGGAAAGCUUGCGGAUUUUGGCCAACUUGUUUCGGAGAAAUAAUUUACCUGCUUCCCAUCUGAAACCGAUUUUUUCGGCAAUUCGUUACGCGCAGGCAUUUGUUGGUUGCAUUUUUGGAGCAGCGCUGGAUUGAUUAGGCUCGGAGGCUCUAGUCAAUUGGAAAUGUCCCUUUGUCCUCCUAGCACUUCUGCUAGCACAGCAAGUAGUAGCUCUCGAUGCUUAUUCGCAGUGUCCGCAUUACCUAGAAUCAGGAGCGCAACCCGAAGGGUCACGUAUGAAGUGCGCGCAGCUACUUCAGCGAACCCGGAUCCUGAAAAGGGCCAGCCAGCAGGUUCAAAAGGAGCAAACACAGCCUUUCCGACACAAAGCUUGGCCCACCUGUGGCCAAACGUGUCGUGGAGUCGUUACCACAUCCAAGUCCUCUUCGUAAGUGAAAUCGGAAGCAACAGCAUUGUGCUCGGUUUCAGUUAUCCGUCGCCUCGUGUGUUCAAUUGGAUUCCGGAAAGAUGCGGUUGCACCAGCUUCACCGAGGCCGCAAGGCGUGGCCUAUGUCCCGUGGCGAGUCAUAGUUAAGGAGUCUCCUCAACAUACAAAGCUUGGCUUGCAGUUUAGUUUAUCCUAAGUCUUCCAGCGUCACAUUUCACACAAUUGCCCAUAAGAGUACCGUAACUAAUUUCUGUGCAACCCCAAUCACCACCAAGCUCGAUGCCACUCCCAACCCAACCAGGUCGACCGCACGGACACAGUUCGCGCGCGGCUUGCGGCGGGCCUAUUCGAACGCUGUGCCGAGUGGAAUGGCUACGGGAGGUGCGAGCGGUAGCCACGUGGCCCGGGGUCGCCGUGCCCUACUGCCACCAUCUUCAGCCCUGUUAGGUCAAAUCAUUAUGCUUGCCUGUGGCUGUCGCCACAUCAUCCUCACACGCUCUCCUACCUGGCGUUCCUCUUCUGGGCAGCCUCUUCAUCACCCAUCACCGUGGUGCACAAGGAGGGGGCGUUGUGUGUGCCUAGGCAUUCAUCCCUGGCACACUCCCAACACGGCUAUAAAAAUAUGCGAACUCCUCAGUGGCAGGCCCCAUAUAUACAACCACACUUCCAUGUGGAUUCUGUACUCGCAUACCGCAGCCUGCCCCACCUCUCAGCUCUCUGUACCUGUGCUGCACCUUGCCGUACUCGCCAGACAAUUUUGCGGACAAAUUUUUAUCUUAGCCUCUGCGAUCUAUCUCUUUCUUGGCAGGGCUCUGUAUCCCUGGACCUGCGGUAUGGCGGUGGGCGGGCCCCGUGACAUCCACGCCAUUUCCAAACUUACAGCCCUAAUGCGAGGAGCCAGCGAUCUAGAAAUCCUGCCUCGCUACUUCACUCGACCUGCGGAGGCCUUUGAGCUCGAGGAUUUGGACCGCUACGACUUGGUCAUGGCGCUAGAUUCGCAGAUUCUGGACGAGAUGCGUCAAAUGGUGGUUUCGGAGCACCAAGCCGGACCGGAUCGAGACUACUACCUCGAGGUCGGUGAUUUGCGACCCGUGAUGGACGCACGAUGGGGUAUGGAGCAGUAGCUCGCCUAUAUCUUAUCAAUUCCUACCUAUUGUGUGCGGGGUGUUUCCGCUGCGAAUGACUUCCUCACCCUGGGCCUAACAAGACCCAGACGAAACGUACAGAAGGGCCAGAAAAAUGGCUGAGAGUUUUUUUUUCUUUGCAGCCAUGUCCUGUGGCUCCCGCUUUCUGCAUUCCGGCAGCGUGAUUCAAUUCGACUCCGGUUCCGGAUCCACAUCUUGGAUCUGAUAAGAUCGCAAUCUUUAAUUCCACAGAAAAUUUGCCUCCUUACGACAUUCAGCCAUUAUGAGUCGGAUGCGGUGCUCACGCGGCGAGGCGGUUUCGCGCUGCUGCCGGCGCAGCUGUCCUUCCUGCUGAAGACUGGGGCCGGUGGCCUCAAGGUGGGUGAUCAACGGAGGGAACGGAAGCAGAAAGGGUGGGCAGGAGGGAGGAAUGGGGUACUGGGGGGUUUGGCUGAAUGGGAGGAGUUGUGGAUGAAAAGUAAUAAUGACAAACAUAACUGGGGGGGCGGCUUUUCAAAGCCGAAAAGGGGCUCGGCCCCGGUGCAGCCACUUACAGGAAAGCUAUCUUUGUCGAUUUAUCUGGAAUGUCUCCUUUGGCAUUUCGAUGUAGAAUAGAUAUAGCUUCUACAUUCAAUCUUUUGCGGAGCGAGAUAUGUAACUUUAUGUUUAACUCGGAGCCAUGGAAAGCUAUCUUCGCGCUCCGAUUUAUCUGGAAUGUCUCCUUUGGCAUUUCGAUGUAGAAUGGAUAUAGCAUUCAAACGCUAUUUUUUGCGGGGCGAGAUAUGUAAGCCACUGACUGACUGACUGACUGACUGACUGAUUGACUGACUGACUGACUGACUGACUGACUGACAGCAGUGAACCCGGGGGGGCUCGGCCCCCCGAAUGGCGCUUCGCGCCCGGGGCCUCGCCCAAAAAUAUUAUAAAAAUAAUAUUGUCAUAUUUUAUUAGGAAUAAUUAUGUAUGAACGGUUAAAGCAAUUAUGAACCGGUUAUGUGGCUGAGCGGGAGCCAAUACCCACCAGGACUUGCUUGCAUGUCUCCUCUCAUCCCGCCAUGCACUUCCGCGCCCCUCACCUCUGCUCGUCUUACUCACUAUUUUAUCUUUUUCUCAGGCGAGCAAGGCGGUGGUGGACAUCGCCUCACCCGACCUCUCUUCCCCCGAUGGAGCCGCACAAUGGGAGGCCACCGUGGCUGCUCUCAUCCUCUCGACCGCCAGCCUAGUAAAGUACCUCAUAGAUGCCUACCCGGAAAACCUGCCCCACUGGGACCCCAUAGACUGAGCAUAUUUGCAUGGUGAAAGCCAUGGAAACACGGAUACAAGUGCCGUGGGCUCAGUAUUUUGUGUCAAGCACUGUUGACUGCACCACGGAUGCAGGGUGCAUGUUCCCUCUUGGGGAGCAGACUGCCAGCAAAUGCUGAGCGGAAGAGGUGUGCCUGAGUUUGUCCUUGUUCAGUUGCUUGCCUGCUGCACACUUGGCUCGGUUUGGCAUGGCAUGGUGCAGAUCAGUUGGCGUAGUGUGGCGUGGUGUGGCUUGUCCUGGUUGCAGUGACACAGCGUGCCCAACCCCGCCGAAUGCCAUGUUUUUUGUUUGCCACAGUGAAGCGGGCUUCUUGGUGCCCAUUGCAGUCAGGAAACUAGAGUCCCUUGGCCUGCUUGGUGCCAGCACUGCUGUACCCACUAGGGGUUAUCACCAUCGAUGGCAUGUCCAGUAGUGGUGCAGCCACCACUGCUAUUCUCAAUUUGCUGCCCUAGCUUGGGGAAUGGAGGGUGCGUGAUCAGAUGAGGAAGUGGGAGGUGAGGAGUCACCCCUGGCGGCGCAGUGAUACGAGGUUGCGGAUGGUUUCGAUUCCAGCCGUACACAACAAACUGCCCCGUGGAUGUCAGUUACACAUAUCGGUACCUUUGUAUUUGGUGUCCUGUGUUUCCCAACACCCCCAAACGGAGGAGUGGAGCCUGAGCCCAUAGCAAAUCAUGCUUGGGUGUGCCUGAUGCCGUUAAUGAAGUUCGUUAGGCUUGCAGGGGCCUUUGUUCAGGGGAUAGCCCCUUUCCGUCUUGGUUCAUGGUUUCGGAGGGUCAUGUAAUGUGAGGAGUUCAGGAGGUCGGAAACUUUCGUACUGUUGUAAUGUAACAGAUGAGCUGUAUGUACGUAUGUAUGUAUGUGGCGUAUUGAUGUGUGUCC